This 281-nucleotide ribosomal RNA is filed under the name Staphylococcus aureus. Its description in RNAcentral is "partial 23S ribosomal RNA". It matches the Rfam family "Bacterial large subunit ribosomal RNA", at positions 2259 to 2539 of the family's 2925-position model. The record is from RNAcentral. Lineage: Bacteria; Bacillati; Bacillota; Bacilli; Caryophanales; Staphylococcaceae.
AGGCGGGCAGUUUGACUGGGGCGGUCGCCUCCUAAAAGGUAACGGAGGCGCUCAAAGGUUCCCUCAGAAUGGUUGGAAAUCAUUCAUAGAGUGUAAAGGCAUAAGGGAGCUUGACUGCGAGACCUACAAGUCGAGCAGGGUCGAAAGACGGACUUAGUGAUCCGGUGGUUCCGCAUGGAAGGGCCAUCGCUCAACGGAUAAAAGCUACCCCGGGGAUAACAGGCUUAUCUCCCCCAAGAGUUCACAUCGACGGGGAGGUUUGGCACCUCGAUGUCGGCUCA